GGAAAUUCUUCCUUUAAAUACUCACUCACUUCAGAUAAGUGACCUCAGCAUAAUUUAUUGUCCAUCAGUGACUUUAAAGUAGCCACUUCUCUCACAUGCUAUUCCAGCAGGGCAGAAGACUUCUUUUUUGGCCCUUCAUUCUAGCUUUGGAUGUAAUUUACAAAGAUGAACCCUUGAGCAUGUAAAUGGUCAAUUCUACAUGGGUGGGCAAAAUAUUAACUUGAUAAAACAUAUCAAAAUAGCUGCUUAAUUCAGUUAACUAGAGUUCUGAAGCUUGAAGCUCUCUCUCUGUAUUUUAGAACAGCCCUCAUACUUGCUGUAAAUUUUGCAUCAUCAAGUGUAGUCAGGCUGCUUCUUGAGCAAGGCGUUGAUAUCUCUCCUCAAGAUCGCUAUGGACGGAAUGCAGAAGACUAUGCUGUUAUCAAGGGUCAUCAUAUGAAUCACCACAUGAUUUUGGAGUAUAAACGAGAAAUGGGACCUAAAACUCCUGCUCAAGAUAGUAACCUAGAUCUAACAGCAGAGGAGUCUCCAAGGCAGAUAUCAAGAGAAACAGAUUCAACACAAGGUAUUCUGUGAAAGGACCUGGCUGUAAUUCCACAUAACACAUUCAUCCCAAUCAUAGCAAUUUCAUGUAAAUAAUGCAAAUGUUUCAGUGGUUCUCCAAACCACACCAGGCAGGGGCAG
RNAcentral lists this long non-coding RNA (684 nucleotides) under Sus scrofa (pig). RNAcentral's name for it is "lncRNA (ENSSSCG00015019896.1)". The record is from RNAcentral. Lineage: Eukaryota; Metazoa; Chordata; Mammalia; Artiodactyla; Suidae.